UAGUUGAUUUUUAUUAAAAAAAAAAUGAAUAUUAAACUAAAUACUAUACUUGAUUUUACUGCUCAAAUCUUUUGGAAAGUUUUAUUCUCUUUGCAAGAUCAAAGCAAUUACUUACUUGAUUGAAAAUUUGAUUAUAGAGUCAAAUUCAUUCAAAAAAGGAGAGAGCAUUUUGGUUUCUGAAUUCAAGCUAAUUUUAAGAAGAAAGAAAUAUUUUAAACUUAUUUUGAAUCAAAAGACAACUUUUUAAAAGGG
This 252-nucleotide long non-coding RNA is filed under the name Elaeis guineensis (African oil palm). RNAcentral describes it as "long non-coding RNA (EGUI_LNC058429)". Lineage: Eukaryota; Viridiplantae; Streptophyta; Magnoliopsida; Arecales; Arecaceae. The record is from RNAcentral.